UCCCUCGUGGUCCAGUGGCUAAGAUUCUGCACUCCCAAGGCAGGGUGCCCAGGUUCGAUCCCUGAUCAGGGAA
This 73-nucleotide transfer RNA is filed under the name Capra hircus (goat). It matches the Rfam family "tRNA". From Rfam's summary of the family: Transfer RNA (tRNA) molecules are approximately 80 nucleotides in length. Their secondary structure includes four short double-helical elements and three loops (D, anti-codon, and T loops). Further hydrogen bonds mediate the characteristic L-shaped molecular structure. tRNAs have two regions of fundamental functional importance: the anti-codon, which is responsible for specific mRNA codon recognition, and the 3' end, to which the tRNAs corresponding amino acid is attached (by aminoacyl-tRNA synthetases). tRNAs cope with the degeneracy of the genetic code in two manners: having more than one tRNA (with a specific anti-codon) for a particular amino acid; and 'wobble' base-pairing, i.e. permitting non-standard base-pairing at the 3rd anti-codon position. The record is from Rfam by way of RNAcentral. Lineage: Eukaryota; Metazoa; Chordata; Mammalia; Artiodactyla; Bovidae. RNAcentral also lists the same sequence under 1 other name.